UUGAGAAGAAGGUCAGUUGAAUUGCAGUUGUCCACGCUGCAACACCGUGCGAAAGUAACGAACGUAUUAUCUACUUAUACAUACAUACACGUUUAAAAUGGAUUUAAAAUGUUUUAUAUAUUUGUUGAUAUUCAGUCAUUCAGUGUACCUAUCAACUUCUGCUACCAUCUACACAUUUAGAAAAUAAAUAAACUUUUUAAAAUUUUAUUGAUUAAAAGAAACGAACGUCUACAAGUACUGAAAAAUAGAGAAAGAUUAUAAAAACACGUGCCUGCUUUAUAAAUUAUAUUCUUAAGGAAAAGACGAAGGAGGAAAACAUGAUCAACAGGAAAAUCACAAUGCCUAGAGUACAAUGCAGAAAAUAAAUCUCCAUAGUAGGGUCUCGUGUAAUCUCGGGGCUAUCUAGCUAGAUUAACGUCGUGUACAUCAGUAGUAUGGUCAUCGCUGUUACGUUCGUGUCAUCGAGUUAUCACAACCUUUGACAGGUAACGCUUUUGCAAUGAAGAACUCGUACAACUUUUUCACCGUCAUAGUUGUAUUUUCAGUUACAGCAGCACACGAUUGGUCGUAUUGGGGUCAAUAUGGUAUAUAUUUCUUUCUAAUCUUAUAUAAUUCCGAACAAUUUUAUUUAUCUAUUAGAUAUGCCUAUACAUUUAAGUAGAUA
Long non-coding RNA from Ceratina calcarata, 664 nucleotides. RefSeq lists it as uncharacterized. The transcript is spliced from 5 exons. The record is from RefSeq and is a predicted model, not a curated record. Lineage: Eukaryota; Metazoa; Arthropoda; Insecta; Hymenoptera; Apidae.